Macrobrachium nipponense is the source of this 660-nucleotide long non-coding RNA. RefSeq lists it as uncharacterized. NCBI's taxonomy places the organism in Eukaryota, Metazoa, Arthropoda, Malacostraca, Decapoda, Palaemonidae. The transcript has 3 exons. The record is from RefSeq and is a predicted model, not a curated record.
UGAUAGCUGGCUGGUAGACUUGUCUAAAGGAUUACUGGACGCGCUAUGGAAUUUUCAGUGAUGGCCGUUGAGGAAUGAUGCUACGUUAAUAUGAAAGGCUGGUUUAAAAAGAUUAACUGUUAUCGUCUCAAGAGAUUCUUCAGAACUUCAAUAUCGAAUCAUUUUUUUUUCCUUCCACCCAAUCGGGGGCGGUGCCCCUGAUGGGGUGGAGGUGCUCCCUUGGGCUUGCAUAGUAGGCGUGUUGGCCUACUGUGCUAGUCCUUGGAGUUUAUUUUUCGUCACAGAUGACCGUGACCUUGUUCUGAGGGGUUUAGAAUGGCUGACUCAAGGAUUUGGAGUUGUGCAAUUAGUUCUUGAAAUACUAUUUCCAUCUGUUACAAAAGUGAGGCUUUCCAAAUGUUAGUUUUCGAAAUAUGAUAAAACAAGUUUUGAGAAAAUCAUUCUGUAACCAUGAAUUAAUGAUUAAUUAAAUAUUCCAGCGUGGAUUGUCCUGUAAUUACCGAUUAAUUAAAUAUUCAAGUGUGAAUAGUCCUGUAAUUACCAAUUAAAUAUUCCAGUGCGUGGAUCGUCCUGUAAUUACCAAUGUAUUGUAAUCACAUGACAUUGAACUUAGUUUUUAAAAAAAGGGUACAUGUUUUAAAAUUAAAAGAUGCGAGGUUC